GUAGAUAUUAUUGAAAUUGGUAUACACGCCAGACUUAGGAUCUGGUGCUUCACGGCGUGGAGGUUCGAGUCCUCUCAUCCGCACCA
Molecule: transfer RNA, 86 nt
Filed under: Ghiorsea sp.
Lineage: Bacteria; Pseudomonadati; Pseudomonadota; Candidatius Mariprofundia; Mariprofundales
Description: tRNA-Leu
Rfam family: tRNA
About the family: Transfer RNA (tRNA) molecules are approximately 80 nucleotides in length. Their secondary structure includes four short double-helical elements and three loops (D, anti-codon, and T loops).
Source: RNAcentral